GACGUAGGGCGCGAGCGUUGUCCGGAUUUAUUGGGCGUAAAGAGCUCGUAGGCGGUGUGUCACGUCGAUCGUGAAAACUUGGGGCUUAACUCUGAGCUUGCGGUCGAUACGGGCAUCACUGGAGUUCGGCAGGGGAGACUGGAAUUCCUGGUGUAGCGGUGAAAUGCGCAGAUAUCAGGAGGAACACCGGUGGCGAAGGCGGGUCUCUGGGCCGAUACUGACGCUGAGGAGCGAAAGCGUGGGGAGCGAACAGG
Molecule: ribosomal RNA, 254 nt
Filed under: uncultured bacterium
Lineage: Bacteria
Description: partial 16S ribosomal RNA
Rfam family: Bacterial small subunit ribosomal RNA
Source: RNAcentral